This 841-nucleotide unclassified non-coding RNA is filed under the name Actinia tenebrosa (Australian red waratah sea anemone). Its description in RNAcentral is "uncharacterized LOC116292496, transcript variant X3". The record is from RNAcentral. Lineage: Eukaryota; Metazoa; Cnidaria; Anthozoa; Actiniaria; Actiniidae.
GCGAAAUGAUGAAACAAGAUGGCCUCCAUAGGAUUUCAAAUCCUUUCCAUCUGCUUGCUUUUAAACUUCUUCGAAAUCGUUCAGCAAGACAAAGUAUACUUAAUCAAGGGUCCAAAACAUAUCAACGGUUCUAUUGGAGAAGAUGCCUUGUUUAUGUGGAAUACGACGGAUCGAAAAGAAAUUCUUGCUGUCAGCUGGGGAAUAAGAAAGGGCAACAUCCCUGAUCCUCAGUUUAUCAGUGUUGAUGGCUACCAUAGAAGGGUGACCAAAAACAAAGAUAUUGGCGAAACGUUGAAAAGAAGAGUAGAAUUUCUUGGAAACUUGACAAUGGGUCGUGCUUGGUUUGUGUUGAAGAACCUUACUGUCAAUGACACUAAUGAAUACAUUGCAAGCAUCAGUGACGAUGAAUCUAGUGAUAUACCAUAUUGUGUGCGCCUAAACGUUACGGAGAAGAGAAAAGAAAAACCAACAGAAGGGCCUUCUCCAACCCCAGACACUACAGCUGCUGCUCCGAACAAUACAAGUAAGGUUUUGAUAGCUUCAGCAUGCAUAAAAUUCUGGAAUACUGAUAAACAGUUAUAAUAUGCAUAUAUUAUAGCAUCGCGAUUCACUCUCAAUAGUCUCUUGUUUUUUAAGACGACAAUAUUUUAUGGUGUUGUCGUUUCAAAAUUAAGGUUUCUGAUUGUCUAACGCGCGCGACGAUAAAGGAAAGCUUGAAGCGCGCGCGUGAUAUUUUUACGCUUGUUGCUUGCGCCAUAGCGCGCGCUCGUAAGAAGAAUUUCGCUUGUGAUCAAAGAAAAUCGGUCAUCACCUUUUUUUCUUUUACGAGCACCGACAAAUA